AGCGAACGUUAGCGGCGGGCUUAACACAUGCAAGUCGAGCGAGAAAGGGGCUUCGGCCCUGAGUACAGCGGCGGACGGGUGAAUAACACGUAGGUAACCUUCCUUCCAGCGGGGGACAACGGUCCGAAAGGACCGCUAAUACCGCAUACGUUCCCUGGGACCCUGGUCCCGGGGAGGAAAGCUCCGCAAGGGGCACUGGAUGAGGGGCCUGCGUAGCAUCAGCUAGUUGGUGGGGUAAUGGCCUACCAAGGCUAAGACGCUUAGCUGGUCUGAGAGGAUGAUCAGCCACACUGGGACUGAGACACGGCCCAGACUCCUACGGGAGGCAGCAGUGGGGAAUAUUGGACAAUGGGCGCAAGCCUGAUCCAGCCACGCCGCGUGAGUGAUGAAGGCCUUCGGGUCGUAAAGCUCUGUGGGGAGGGACGAAUGGCGCCGUGAAGAGCGGCGAGUGACGGUACCUCCUUAGCAAGCACCGGCUAACUUCGUGCCAGCAGCCGCGG
This 500-nucleotide ribosomal RNA is filed under the name uncultured bacterium. RNAcentral describes it as "bacterial SSU rRNA". It matches the Rfam family "Bacterial small subunit ribosomal RNA", at positions 30 to 520 of the family's 1533-position model. The record is from RNAcentral.